UACAGAGGGGGCAAGCGUUAUUCGGAAUUAUUGGGCGUAAAGGGCGCGUAGGCGGCCCGGCAAGUGGAAGGUGAAAUCCCUCGGCUCAACCGAGGAACUGCCUUCCAAACUGCCUGGGCUUGAGUCCGGGAGAGGUGAGUGGAAUUCCCAGUGUAGCGGUGAAAUGCGUAGAUAUUGGGAGGAACACCAGUGGCGAAGGCGGCUCACUGGACCGGAACUGACGCUGAGGCGCGAAAGCGUGGGGAGCAAACGGG
RNAcentral lists this ribosomal RNA (254 nucleotides) under uncultured bacterium. RNAcentral's name for it is "partial 16S ribosomal RNA". It matches the Rfam family "Bacterial small subunit ribosomal RNA", at positions 524 to 776 of the family's 1533-position model. The record is from RNAcentral.